This 1372-nucleotide ribosomal RNA is filed under the name uncultured bacterium. Its description in RNAcentral is "bacterial SSU rRNA". It matches the Rfam family "Bacterial small subunit ribosomal RNA", at positions 28 to 1381 of the family's 1533-position model. The record is from RNAcentral.
GAUGAACGCUGGCGGCGUGCCUAAUACAUGCAAGUCGAGCGAACGGACGAGAAGCUUGCUUCUCUGAUGUUAGCGGCGGACGGGUGAGUAACACGUGGAUAACCUACCUAUAAGACUGGGAUAACUUCGGGAAACCGGAGCUAAUACCGGAUAAUAUUUUGAACCGCAUGGUUCAAAAGUGAAAGACGGUCUUGCUGUCACUUAUAGAUGGAUCCGCGCUGCAUUAGCUAGUUGGUAAGGUAACGGCUUACCAAGGCAACGAUGCAUAGCCGACCUGAGAGGGUGAUCGGCCACACUGGAACUGAGACACGGUCCAGACUCCUACGGGAGGCAGCAGUAGGGAAUCUUCCGCAAUGGGCGAAAGCCUGACGGAGCAACGCCGCGUGAGUGAUGAAGGUCUUCGGAUCGUAAAACUCUGUUAUUAGGGAAGAACAUAUGUGUAAGUAACUGUGCACAUCUUGACGGUACCUAAUCAGAAAGCCACGGCUAACUACGUGCCAGCAGCCGCGGUAAUACGUAGGUGGCAAGCGUUAUCCGGAAUUAUUGGGCGUAAAGCGCGCGUAGGCGGUUUUUUAAGUCUGGUGUGAAAGCCCACGGCUCAACCGUGGAGGGUCAUUGGAAACUGGAAAACUUGAGUGCAGAAGAGGAAAGUGGAAUUCCAUGUGUAGCGGUGAAAUGCGCAGAGAUAUGGAGGAACACCAGUGGCGAAGGCGACUUUCUGGUCUGUAACUGACGCUGAUGUGCGAAAGCGUGGGGAUCAAACAGGAUUAGAUACCCUGGUAGUCCACGCCGUAAACGAUGAGUGCUAAGUGUUAGGGGGUUUCCGCCCCUUAGUGCUGCAGCUAACGCAUUAAGCACUCCGCCUGGGGAGUACGACCGCAAGGUUGAAACUCAAAGGAAUUGACGGGGACCCGCACAAGCGGUGGAGCAUGUGGUUUAAUUCGAAGCAACGCGAAGAACCUUACCAAAUCUUGACAUCCUUUGACAACUCUAGAGAUAGAGCUUUCCCCUUCGGGGGACAAAGUGACAGGUGGUGCAUGGUUGUCGUCAGCUCGUGUCGUGAGAUGUUGGGUUAAGUCCCGCAACGAGCGCAACCCUUAAGCUUAGUUGCCAUCAUUAAGUUGGGCACUCUAAGUUGACUGCCGGUGACAAACCGGAGGAAGGUGGGGAUGACGUCAAAUCAUCAUGCCCCUUAUGAUUUGGGCUACACACGUGCUACAAUGGACAAUACAAAGGGCAGCGAAACCGUGAGGUCAAGCAAAUCCCAUAAAGUUGUUCUCAGUUCGGAUUGUAGUCUGCAACUCGACUACAUGAAGCUGGAAUCGCUAGUAAUCGUAGAUCAGCAUGCUACGGUGAAUACGUUCCCGGGUCU